RNAcentral lists this ribosomal RNA (497 nucleotides) under uncultured bacterium. RNAcentral describes it as "partial 16S ribosomal RNA". It matches the Rfam family "Bacterial small subunit ribosomal RNA", at positions 28 to 507 of the family's 1533-position model. The record is from RNAcentral.
GAUGAACGCUGGCGGCGUGCCUAAUACAUGCAAGUCGAGCGAACAGACGAGGAGCUUGCUCCUCUGACGUUAGCGGCGGACGGGUGAGUAACACGUGGAUAACCUACCUAUAAGACUGGGAUAACUUCGGGAAACCGGAGCUAAUACCGGAUAAUAUAUUGAACCGCAUGGUUCAAUAGUGAAAGACGGUUUUGCUGUCACUUAUAGAUGAAUCCGCGCCGCAUUAGCUAGUUGGUAAGUUAACGGCUUACCAAGGCAACGAUGCGUAGCCGACCUGAGAGGGUGAUCGGCCGCACUGGAACUGAGACACGGUCCAGACUCCUACGGGAGGCAGCAGUAGGGAAUCUUCCGCAAUGGGCGAAAGCCUGACGGAGCAACGCCGCGUGAGUGAUGAAGGUCUUCGGAUCGUAAAACUCUGUUAUUAGGGAAGAACAAAUGUGUAAGUAACUAUGCACGUCUUGACGGUACCUAAUCAGAAAGCCACGGCUAACUACGUG